CUUCAGUUUAAUCUCACUGAACAUGUUAGUACUGCUCAAGAUGAGUAUGUUUUACUUUUUCUGGUUUUAAUACAUUUGUAGAUAAAAUUAAUGGGUAGAGACAGAAGUUUCUGGAAAUAAGUCAGAUAAUUCCACUUUGUAUCUGUUUUUCCUGAAAUUCCUAUCUUGAUUCUACUGUCAAAAGCUUGGGGGAAAAAAAAAAAAAAAAAGCUGAAUUGCAUUUAUUUAUCUUUCAUAGGCCAAAGCACGAGAGCUCUACAGCAAAUAAUCACUGCCUGACUGACUCUAAAGAGCAUCCAUGUCAAUUUGCAGAAUCCUUUUCAUGUAAAUAAUUUGAAGGCAUCUGGGACCUAAGUAUGGGUGUACUAACACAAGUUCUUGAGACAAACCAUUAAGAAAUCCUCCUCCUGACAUGAGAAAACAAACCACUUGAUAUAUUCCAUAUAAAAACAUCUUGAAUCAUUGAAAAGUGAGUUCCCAAAAGGGAGGAGAGAAUCAAAAAGUAAGAUCCUACAGUAUAUCUAGGAAAUAAUUCCCCCCACUUAAUAUCCUUGGAGAAAUCUUUUUUUUUUUUUUUUUUUUUUUUUUUUUUUUUUUUUUAAGGGGGGAGGGAAAGGGGAUUAAUUCACCAAAAUAACAAAAUUCAGUAAACUCAUCCAUGUAUUUCAAGUAUGUGGAACUAUCUUACAUCCAAAAUACACACUAUGGUUAUUUUCAGGAAGUUUCUAGAAAGAUUGUCUUUCUAAAUUAGUCAUCUACAAGACUCCAAGCUUGAAUAUUUUUCUUAAUAUUCAUUGGAAAUCACUUACCUGGGGUAGGCAGGUAAUACUUGAAUGCAAGGAGCAGUUGCUAUUUUUCCACAAUUCAAGGCAUUAAUUUGGUGCCAUCUCUUCAUCUUAUUUCAGUUGCAGGGCAAAAUGUUUAAAUUUUUCUAUUGUGUGUAUUAGGGGAUAAAUGUAACUCUAAGAACCCUGUAUGCUGAUGUUAGCCCUUAUCCAGUGUUUCCAGAACACUGUUUCUGCUGGAUUCAGCUACUUACUCUUCUUACCUGUGUUUAUGUGAAGCUGAAUAGACUGCACUUGCAUAUUUAGACCUCAUUUUUUCUGAGAGCUUCGUUCAUAAUGAUUAUAUGUUCUGCUUGACUGACAGUUUGUGGUAGGACGAUUCAUUAAGGUUAAUUGAAUUCUGAAGGAAGGAAAAAAAAUCUUUGGACAUGAAUGUGAACUACUGAGAAUUAAUGUAAUGUACAGACUUAUAAUCUUCAGAGUAUAUAAUAACAUACUUAUUUUUAAAGCAACACAGGUAAUUUCAGGUUUGAAAUAACAGAGUUAAAAAAUGAGUGUGGAAGGAAAAAUAGCACCUUUUGCUUCCUUAUUAGUGAUCAUGAUUGUUUAAUCAAUAGUGGGCAUGAGAAGUGACACAAAAACCUGCACUGCUGCUGAAGCAGACAGGAUAUUGACAUUUAAACAAAUGCUUUAAACACACUGUGCUUACUCUUCUACUUUUAAUAUUAAAACUUGGUGAGGAAACUUAUCUUACUUUAUCAUUCAUAUUAAUCUUGCACAUACAACAAAUUUAGGAUCUUUUAUUGUGUUAUUUUCUAUAUGAAGAGGUUCAGACAAACCUAUCAAAUCCUUUUUUUUUUUUUUUCAUUUUCUUUCAAGUGAUCAAUUGAAAUCUCUGUAACAUUUGGGACUUUGGGAGAUGUUUCUAUUGAUUUCAGUUGCUAUGAGCAUGGCUAAUGUCCAGAGUGACCCAAACAUCAAAACAUGAUUUCUUCAUCUUAAUGAUUCGUAUCUGAAACUUUUCAGCAUUAUACCUGACUUCUAGUGGAUAUCUGCUUCAGCAGAAAGCCUCAGCACAGCACCACCCAUAGAAGCUGCUCCAUUUUGAUGAGGAUUCUUUCGCAGCAUUUCCUGAGACAGUAUAUGGACUGUUGAUUUUGGUGCUGUGGUUUCUGAACAGUGCAGUGGGAAGCUGAAAGUCACCUCUGGAGAUUGCCUGUUCCAGCCCUGUUGGUCAAGGUCAUCUAGAGAGGAUUUCUAUGGUAACAUUUACGUUAGCGCUGCUGAGCUGGUGUAAUGCAAGGAGGGACACAUCAUGAAAUGGAAACAUUAUCCUUUUUUGGUCAUAGUAGCUGCAUGCAGCCUUUCCAGAUGUCAUUACUUACUGGGUCAGCUUAUUCCAGGAUUAAUGAACGAAGAUACCAUUAUCACAUCAAGAUAUGUACAUCCACUUUUAGAAACAGAACUCUGUGUCAUCCGGGAUGUACUUCUAUGUUGUAUAAGAAUGCAAGUAGGAAAAAACAGUGAAACAAAAUUUAAAAACCAGCAACCAUGAAAUGUCCUCUAUCUAGAGUACUUCCAGAGUAAUACGUACAUGAUAGUUCUUCAACUUUCUUGAAAAAUAUUGGACAAUUUUUAUAUUGGACUAUAAAAUCACCAAAUCAGAGGAGAGUCUACAAGAAGCAGAAGUGGUUGGAAAUGCUUUCUGAACACUUUCCCUAACACUUUCCCUAAUGGAAGUGCUAAGUGCUUUGGAAAUGCCUUUCCAAACAAGAGAACAAAAAGACAACAGUUGGUAUAAAUGCUCAAGAUCUUGUGACCAUGAUUUUCAUUUCCAAAUGGCUGGUUUUUUUGGGUGGUCCCAUCUGUUAUGUGUUUUACUUGCUUUUCUCAAACACUCAUUUAAACCAGGUUUGUACACAAGUGAUUAGAGAAUGUCUGCUUUUUCUGUAAUUGCCCGUGUUUGCUUUCUUGCAAGUAAUAAAUGACAAAUACUUCAACUGUUCUCAUUAUCUUUAGGAGUUUGUAAUCCAAUGAGACACCAAAACUAUGGUAAUUCAAAGGCUAGUCACACACUACCUAAGGAAACUUUGUACAAAAUAUCAGCAAACAAAUUUGUCAGAGAUUUAGAUUUGAAUUUACAGAAGAAGAGGUUUUUUCUUUAGAAGUGUAUUCCUUACACUCAUGAAGAAUACAUUUGUAGAAAUCAAGAUAACCAGUUAGAGAAUGGAAAAAUGCACGAGAGAAUUUAUUUGCCAUAACUGUUUUUUGUUGUUACUGUUACACAAUAUGUUGUUCUGUGACACAAAAUGACUGAGGAAAUCUGUCAUGAAAUGUGAUUUGUGCCCUGCAAAGUGCUUGGAUUGUCAGUAUCAUCAUAUUCUAGGUCAAUUCUGAUGUAAAACAAAAAGUAGAAAAUUAACAAACAACAGAAAUAGUGAAGUCUAUGAAUGUAUGUCUCACACUGGAUAUUUUCAGUAUCUUUAGAGGCAUGUGCAUAUUUUUAAACUCUUCCUCUCCCUUUUUCUCACUCUAGCACAAAGCUCUGUCCUUAAUACCAAAUUUUCUUGCAAAAACAAUACUUGUGGGGUCUCCCUCUUCUACUGAAAUUCCUGUCUUCAUGCUACAUGUAAAGUCUGAGUGUCUUUGAGAAUCUCCAUGCUGCUGGGCUAGAUAGGAAUUUUGACAAGAAAGGAAAAAAAUUUUUUUUUUUUCAUUUAGGAACUGUAGUGGAGUAAGGCACUGACCACUCAUAACAUGCUAAAAAUGUGAGUAAUUAAUGUGAGAGCUGCAGUCAUCAUAAAAAAUCUACAAAAAUUAAAACCUUUCUAUAACUGUGUAGUAAGUGCAUGUGAAAAAACAGCUUCUGAUGACUUGAGAUGAAAGAUGUAACUACUACAGAAAAACACACUUAUUUACCAUUCUUUUACAUAUGUUCAGAAUCAGUCUUUUCCCCAUUCUCAAUUACACUGCCUUUCAUCAAUGUUUUUAUAUAAUUCAGCCUCAGUGUGCUGAGUGGUCAGGCUGGGAAAUUAUGCCUGUGGAAUGUUCUCUCAUGUAUUUUACAUUCUAGAAAAUGGACUUUCUUUUGUUCCUUGUGUUAUUUGCAUUUUUGCGUCAACUGGCUUUGUUGAAAGAAGAUACCUUCUGGAGGUCUUAUUCUCUUUGGUCUCUUUCUCCUUGCUCUCUCAAAACCAUUCUUGGCUGUCACACAGUGCAUGGAGAGAGUUCCUUCAUGUUUUGGGGUGAUCUUAGGUGUCUCUUGCUAGAACAUGAUAAGAUGUGGGCACUCUAAACAGAAAUUAUCAGUGAAGAAAUGUCUCCCAGUUACUGAAGUUGCUCAUUAAAUGCGCUGAAUCAGGGUAGGGAACUUACCCUAGAAUCCUCAGUUUUGGGACCUGUUUUUCUCAGAGAGAUUUCUGUGACAGAAACACAAUGCGCUACAGAAAAGGUAAGGUAUUUAAUGAGAAACAGAUGAGGCCUGUGUAUUGUUAGUGGAGAAUGACUACUGUUUUGUGUAAAGAGAAGCCAACAUAUAAUGUUAAGAAUAAAAACAGAGAAGAUUACAGGACAUUGUAACAAGAAGUUAAUUUUAUUUUUGGUGCUUAAAAUGCUGUUAAAAAAACCCAACAACCUAAACUCAUAAAAAUUAUUCCUUUUUUUUUUUUUUAAUAGUGCUUUCAAUAUCAUUUUACAGAUGCUUACUUUAUUUCUCAACACCGCUUGUCCCUUUACAACAAUAUCCAAAGAUAAUAUUUUUCUCACAAACAGGUUCUGCUUGCUUUAACAUCUGUUGAUGUGAUUUAUUAAUGUUCAGGUACCAAUAAAGAUACAUUUUCUUUUGUGUGUGUGUGUUCAGAAACAUAGAAAGAAUCUAAAUGCAUGUUUCCUUAAAAACAAAGUCUCCCGACUUAGCUCUUCUGUCUUUCUUUUUCCUUAAAGACCACUGGGAAUAUUAUAGUUUUACAUGUCAGCUACUAAUGGUUUUAUAUCCAACAUUUGGUUUAAAAAUCACAUGACCCUGAAUAGCAGUGUUUGUUUUUUUAGCAAUGCCUGCUUAGUUUCUUACAACACUAUAACAUUAAUGUCUUCUUUUUACCGUCUGUAAACAUUUAAGUUAGAAUUUUAUAGGCAGCACCUUUAAGCUUUAAUUGGACAUCUGAUAGUCUGUGUACAUAAGCACCUACCAGAUAAUGUGGAAAUUGUAGACUAAGAAGCAAUGAUGCCAUUGUGCAGGUAGGUGUAGACUUUUGCCUGUUAUGUUAGAUUGUCUCCCAGGAGUGUCUGCUGUAUUUCGGAAACCCUUUACAUGUGAGCUGUUAGAAAAGUAUGGAAAUGAUGAGGCAGGUGCCAAAGCAAACCUCUGACAGGCAUUUUAUCCCACCCAGAUUAUAAGGUUCACACCUUAUUUUUUAUCUUGAAUAUCAAAACCUUGAACUAUGAGUCUGGUAAGUUUUUAUCUCUGAUUUAUGAUAUAUGUUGCUUCUAUUAUCAUAUAUUUAUAAAUACUAUCCAUCACUGUUGAUGCUUCGGUCUAUUGUACAUCUUCCAUUUUGGAGAUUUGUGUUGUAGCUAGAAAAGAACAAACACCAUUCAUUCUUCUGCAUCUGAAGCACCUCUGGCUUUGUGAAAAUGUGUAUGAUCAGAAUGAAAAAAUUUUCCUUUUCUGAGUCCUUGUCACUCCUUCAUUUACUACAUGAAUUUACUACAGUGGUCACCUAACAGUGCUGCAUCAAAAUGCAGUCUGAAGAGUUAUUCCAUUCUGGGUUCAAACUUUUGGGAUGAUAUUUUACAGAAAAACAUUUUGUAUUGGAAGUAGCCUUAGUCAAAGGAAUGUAAUCUAGCGACCUGGUAGCAACUAUAGCACCUAAAGAGGUGAAUUGCUCCUUUCUCUUUAAAUCACUACUUAGUGUUAUCAGUACGGUGUUUGCUAUCUUCACCUCAUAGAUGAGAUCACGAUAGACAAAAGAGGACAGGCAAAGUGUGUGAGAAACCAAAAAAGUCAUAGAGAAAAUCAUUAGUUUUACAGAUUCUUAUUUGGUAGUUCUAAAUUUAUGAGAGCAUUAUGUUAUUAAAAAUAAUAAUGUAUUGGUAUGACAGUAUAUAAUACAAAAUGUAUAUGUAGGUGUUCUCUUGUACUUUUUUUUAAUUUUAUUUUUGGCUCUAGAUAUAUUUUAUGCUAGUUGCUGACUGUGUUGCCAUAUGUUAUGAGCAGCAAGUGAAAUGGGAUAAAUGCAGAAAUAUCUGGCAUGUGUGAACUUCUGGGGACAUUGCAGCAGAGGUAGAAAACAAAUACAAUUCCUUAUUAGUUUAAGCAUGCCUGCACUGAUAGAAGCAUUUCUCUGUUGAUAGAACUGUUCUGGGGCAGAUUAUGGUAAAAAUUCUGCAGAGUCCAAUGCACAUAUGUAGCACCGUUCUAUCUGGCAGUGUGAGACAAAUGAGGGAAUAAGAACUGGGGUUACAGUUUCAGAACUUAAGCAGCCCAACAAAAUCUACAGCAGCUUUUCAUGAUAAGGGAAUCGGGGGGAGGAGAAUGUGUUUUCUCUGGACUCAAGCAGAAGGAAAUGUUUUACCAUUUUGUUUGUUGUCCAAAAGACCAGAUGUAUAAGUCAAUUAAGGUAGUAACUAAAUAAGAGCGGUAUUUCUAUGGAAGCUGUACAUAACCUCACUAUCCCAGUGCUUCUCAGUGGAGAGAGAGACUCAUUUGAAGGAGCCACUAAGGGGAACCUGGGGAAAUUAACCUUGUUAGGUUGAAGUUUGCCUUUGGAGCACUCAGCAUGCAACAUCAUUUUUUUAAAAGUCUCAGCUAUGGGCUUAGGGUCUUCAAUAAAACAGAAAAUGUCUUAGAAGCCAAGAAUAUGUCCAGGAAUGAAUAAUUCCAAAGCAGACAGGAAAAGAAGUCUCAGGAACAAAUAUUCAAUAAAGCAUGUUUCUCAGUGAACUGAAUGCCCACAACCAGAUCAAUCUCACUGAUGUGUGAAGUUGAAGAUGUCAGUUACACAAUAGUGUACUGAGACCACCUUAGAAAAUCUGAGUCCCUGUGCUUUUAAAAACCCUCUGCUUUGCAUUGAAGUGAUAUAUUACUCACUAAGUGAGAAUAAGGUGUUACCAAGCAGUAAGUCAGGCUUGAAAUUACACAUGGCAGUCUCCAUUACUUACACAGAGAAGGAAGUAUUAAAGAAAGUACAACCUGAUGCUGAAUACUCUGCCAAGUAUAACCCGCUCAGUGGCUGAGUAAUUACUGGCAGGUAUGUAUUCUGCUGUGACAGAGCUUGAUAACAGAUUUACAGAACUUGUGAAGCAUGCACAGAACCAUGUGUCUGUCGCAUAUACCAGAGUUGUUUAGUUGUCACUUAGAUAACUGUUAUUUUCUCUAAAUAUGAAAGCUGCUCCAAAAGUAAUACCUGCUAUGUUAUUAUGUUGGCU
RNAcentral lists this long non-coding RNA (7211 nucleotides) under Gallus gallus (chicken). Lineage: Eukaryota; Metazoa; Chordata; Aves; Galliformes; Phasianidae. The record is from RNAcentral.